Molecule: unclassified non-coding RNA, 205 nt
Filed under: fungal sp.
Lineage: Eukaryota; Fungi
Description: partial internal transcribed spacer region
Rfam family: Eukaryotic small subunit ribosomal RNA (bases 1-46)
Source: RNAcentral
AAGUCGUAACAAGGUAACCGUAGGUGAACCUGCGGUUGGAUCAUUACCAAUCUCUUGCCGCAAGGCAAUUAACCAUUGUGCACCAAUUGACGUCUCUGGCAGUCUCCCUUGGGAGCUGCCAAACUUAUAUAAACCGUAUAUUGUUUUGCCUUAACUUAAUUGAAAAAUUAAAAAACAACUUUUGACAACGGAUCUCUUGGCUCUC